RNAcentral lists this unclassified non-coding RNA (329 nucleotides) under soil metagenome. RNAcentral describes it as "partial contains 5.8S ribosomal RNA, internal transcribed spacer 2, and large subunit ribosomal RNA". The stretch from base 1 to 120 matches the Rfam family "5.8S ribosomal RNA", at positions 35 to 154 of the family's 154-position model. The record is from RNAcentral.
GAUGAAGAACGCAGCGAAAUGCGAUAAGUAAUGUGAAUUGCAGAAUUCAGUGAAUCAUCGAAUCUUUGAACGCACAUUGCGCCCCUUGGUAUUCCGAGGGGCAUGCCUGUUCGAGCGUCAUUAUAACCCCUCAAGCUCAGCUUGGUGUUGGGGCCUGCUGCACUGGCAGCCCUUAAAAUCAGUGGCGGUGCCAUCUGGCUCUAAGCGUAGUAAUUCUUCUCGCUAUGGAGUCCUGGUGGAUGCUUGCCAUCAACCCCCAAUUUUUCUAUGGUUGACCUCGGAUCAGGUAGGGAUACCCGCUGAACUUAAGCAUAUCAAUAAGCGGAGGA